This 428-nucleotide long non-coding RNA is filed under the name Vigna radiata. Its description in RNAcentral is "long non-coding RNA (VRAD_LNC001945)". The record is from RNAcentral. Lineage: Eukaryota; Viridiplantae; Streptophyta; Magnoliopsida; Fabales; Fabaceae.
CAAUUGAUUUUCAAAUGAAGCAGAGGCCUUGUUCCAGCUCCAGUAGACACCUGAUUUUGUUAGGCUUGGAUCACUCACAACCUGUACAAGGUUAAAACAGUUCAAAUAUGAGACACAAGGACUCUUCAAACGCUCAUUCCAACCAAAAAAGUAUAUAACCAUCUCCAUAGUCUCUUAUUGGUAAUUUCUACUACCUGUGCAAGCCGCUUUCCCGAUUCAUCUUCGGAGACAAAGCCCUUGGUUAUGAACUUUUGGAAUGGAGGGAAGAGAAGUCUGAAUAAGGGAAUGUGUUCUCUGAACAAGCCUGUUGUGGCAAUGCAACCCGGGUAGAGGGAAGCAAAUGUGAUUCCAGUUUCUUCAUGGUAUCUUCUGUGAAAUUCUUGCAUGGUAAGCAUAUUGCAGACUUUGCUGUCCUUGUACGCCUUGGC